CGUAAAGACGCAUGCAGGUGGUUUGGUUUAAGUUCAGAUGUGAAAGACCCGGGGCCGUCAACCUCCGGAAUAGCAUUUGAAACUAGGCAGACUAGAGUACUGUAGAGGGGGGUAGGGAAGUUUCAGGUGUAGCGGUGAAAUAGCGUAGAGAUCUGAAGGAAUACCGGUGGCGAAGGCGGCCCCCCUCGGACAGAUACUGACACUCAGAUGCGAAAGCGUGGGGAGCAAACAGGAUUAGAUACCCCUGGUAG
RNAcentral lists this ribosomal RNA (251 nucleotides) under uncultured bacterium. Its description in RNAcentral is "partial 16S ribosomal RNA". It matches the Rfam family "Bacterial small subunit ribosomal RNA", at positions 559 to 793 of the family's 1533-position model. The record is from RNAcentral.